UUUAAUUGCAGUGCUCUGGAAUUCAUUUCAGUUUCAAGUGCCACUGGCAUGAAAAAGCCCUUCAUUUCUAGCAUGUUGUUGAAGCACUAUAAAGAUGAGAACUCUUCACUUCUGCCAGGAAAGUUUGCUGAUGGGCUGAAUGUCUUGAGGAUGAAAAGGUUGCCCUUUGUGAUACUACGCAUCAGUGGUACGAUAAGUAUAUUGAUCAGGUACCAGAUUUAAAAACAUCCCCUUCCUAAGCUGAGUUUUCUGCAUAACACCUGCUGUAAAGAUGUUGUGGAGCAUCUCUUUCCAAGUCCCUUUGCUUGAAGACAUUGGCAGCUGAAACUCAUAGUCACUUCAUAUAACCUGGAAAAAUGCAUAACUGAAUGCAUUUUAGGGAUGCAUAAGGGCUGUGACCUGAAGAGUAUAUUACAAAAUCAUUUAAUAGGUAAUAUUUAUGGAACCUAGCUUGUAAUGACAGAGUAUUUUUUACUUCAACAGCUGUGUGUUUUACUCUCUUGUGCCAUAUGCUGUU
This 517-nucleotide long non-coding RNA is filed under the name Parus major (Great Tit). RNAcentral's name for it is "lncRNA (ENSPMJG00000000504.1)". Lineage: Eukaryota; Metazoa; Chordata; Aves; Passeriformes; Paridae. The record is from RNAcentral.